This 759-nucleotide ribosomal RNA is filed under the name uncultured fungus. RNAcentral's name for it is "eukaryotic LSU rRNA". The stretch from base 1 to 241 matches the Rfam family "Eukaryotic small subunit ribosomal RNA", at positions 1593 to 1831 of the family's 1831-position model. The record is from RNAcentral. Lineage: Eukaryota; Fungi.
UUGCUCUUCAACGAGGAAUGCCUAGUAAGCGCGUGUCAUCAGCACGCGUUGAUUACGUCCCUGCCCUUUGUACACACCGCCCGUCGCUACUACCGAUUGAAUGGCUCAGUGAGGCCUUCGGACUGGCUCGGAGAGGUUGGCAACGACCACUCCGAGCCGGAAAGUUCGUCAAACUCGGUCAUUUAGAGGAAGUAAAAGUCGUAACAAGGUUUCCGUAGGUGAACCUGCGGAAGGAUCAUUACUGAGAGUACCAGGCUUCUGUCUGGCUACUUUUACCCAUGUUUUUCAAGUACCAAAGUUUCCUCGGCGGCUCUGCCCGCCGGUUGGACUCAUUCAAACCCUUUGUAGUUGCAGUCAGCGUCUGAUAAAACCUAAUAAUUAAAACUUUCAACAACGGAUCUCUUGGUUCUGGCAUCGAUGAAGAACGCAGCGAAAUGCGAUAAGUAGUGUGAAUUGCAGAAUUCAGUGAAUCAUCGAAUCUUUGAACGCACAUUGCACCUCUCGGUAUUCCGGGAGGUAUGCCUGUUCGAGCGUCAUUUGUACCCUCAAGCUCUGCUUGGUGUUGGGUGUUUGUUCCGCCUCUGCGCGUGAACUCGCCUUAAAACAAUUGGCAGCCGGCGUACUUGUUUCGGAGCGCAGCAGAUUUUUAUUGCGCCCUGGAUCGACGUACAGCGGCAUCCAAGAAGCCUUAUUUAACGCUCUUGACCUCGGAUCAGGUAGGGAUACCCGCUGAACUUAAGCAUAUCAAUAAGCGGAGGA